UACGUAGGUGGCAAGCGUUGUCCGGAAUUAUUGGGCGUAAAGCGCGCGCAGGUGGUUUCUUAAGUCUGAUGUGAAAGCCCACGGCUCAACCGUGGAGGGUCAUUGGAAACUGGGGAACUUGAGUGCAGGAGAGAAGAGUGGAAUUCCACGUGUAGCGGUGAAAUGCGUAGAGAUGUGGAGGAACACCAGUGGCGAAGGCGACUCUUUGGCCUGUAACUGACGCUGAGGCGCGAAAGCCAGGGGAGCAAACGGG
RNAcentral lists this ribosomal RNA (253 nucleotides) under uncultured bacterium. RNAcentral describes it as "partial 16S ribosomal RNA". It matches the Rfam family "Bacterial small subunit ribosomal RNA", at positions 524 to 776 of the family's 1533-position model. The record is from RNAcentral.